This 253-nucleotide ribosomal RNA is filed under the name uncultured bacterium. RNAcentral describes it as "partial 16S ribosomal RNA". It matches the Rfam family "Bacterial small subunit ribosomal RNA", at positions 524 to 776 of the family's 1533-position model. The record is from RNAcentral.
UACGAGGGGAGCAAGCGUUGUUCGGAAUCAUUGGGCGUAAAGGGCGCGUAGGCGGCCGUACAAGUCUGGGGUGAAAGCCCUCGGCUCAACCGAGGAAUUGCCUUGGAAACUGUAUGGCUUGAGUAUUGGAGAGGAAGGCGGAAUUCCCAGUGUAGCGGUGAAAUGCGUAGAUAUUGGGAGGAACACCUGUGGCGAAGGCGGCUUUCUGGACAAUCACUGACGCUGAGGCGCGAAAGCCAGGGGAGCAAACGGG